This 1756-nucleotide ribosomal RNA is filed under the name Paravannella minima. Its description in RNAcentral is "bacterial SSU rRNA". It matches the Rfam family "Bacterial small subunit ribosomal RNA". The record is from RNAcentral. Lineage: Eukaryota; Discosea; Flabellinia; Vannellidae.
AUGAAAAAAUUAGUUUUAUUAUUAUUAAAAAAAUAAGAAUUAAAGCUUUUUAAUGGUUUAAAUUUUAAUUUGAUUUUUAAAAUAUUUAAUAUAAUUAAUUAUAUUAUUUAAUACUAUAUUGAGUUUGAUCCUAGCUCAGAGUGAAUGCUAGCGGUCUGCCUAACACAUGCAAGUCAAACGCGAGUAAAUUUUUUUAUUUCGAGUGGCGUACGGGUGAGUAAAAUAUAAGAAUAAAUUUAAUAAUUUGAAAUAAGACAAUUAUUUUUUAAUAUAAUAAAUAGGUUUAAAGUCAAAUAAAAUUUAAUUUUAAUUUAAUAUUAAAGUAAAUUAAUUAAAAAUUUUUAAAAUAUUUUUACAUAAAAAUAAUAAUAAUUUUGUUGUUAAAUCAGCUUAUAUAGGAUUAUGGUAGUUGGUAGAGUAAAGGUUUACCAAGCCUAAGAUCUUUAGCUGGUCUGGGAGGACGAUCAGCCACAUUAGGACUGAAACAAGGCCUAACCUUUUAACAAGGCAGCAGUGGGGAAUUUUGGACAAUGAGCGAAAGCUUGAUCCAGCAAGACCGCGUGAGUGAAGACUGUUUAUAAUUGUAAAGCUCUUUCAUCAAUGAAGAUUAUGACUUUUAGUUGAAAAAGAAGCCCCGACUAACUUCGUGCCAGCAGUCGCGGUAAUACGGGGGGGGCUAGUGUUACUCUUAAUUAAUGGGCGUAAAGUGUAUUAAGACGAUUUAUUGUAUUAUAAAUAAAAUAUAAAAGCUUAACUUUUAAACUAUUUUUAGGAUUAAUAAAUUAGAGUAUAUUAGAAGAAAGUGGUAUUCUUAAUGAAGAGGUGAAAUUCUAAGACUUUAAAAAGACCAUCAAUAAGCGAAGGCAACUUUUCUAUAAUAUUACUGACGUUUAAGUACAAAAGCAUAGGUAGCAAACAGGAUUAGAGACCCUGGUAGUCUAUGCCCUGACCUAUAAAUGUUCACUAUUGGAUAAUUUCAGUAGUUUAGUAAACGCGUUAAACAUUUCGCCUGGGGACUACGAUCGCAAGAUUAAAACUCAAAGGAAUUGACGGAGAUCUAUUCAAGCGGUGGAGCAUGUGGUUUAAUUCGAUAAAAAGCGCAAAACCUUACCAGCAUUUGACUUUUGAGAAAAUUUUAGAUGAGAGUUUAAAAUAAUAUAUUUUAAUAAUUUUAUAUUUUUUAUUAAAUAUAUCUCAAUCAGGUGUUGCAUGGCUGUCGGCAGUCCGUGUCGUGAGAUGUACGGUUAAAUCCUGAAACGGGCGCAACCCUUAUUUUUAGUUAUUUUUCUAAAAAAACUGUUAAUUAAAUAUUAAUAGAAGGUGAGGAUGACGUCAAGUCUUCAUGGCCUUUAUAUGCUGGGCUACACACAUGCUACAAUGGUUAUUACAAUGAGAAGCAAUAAUGUGAAUUAAAGCGAAUCUUUAAAAGUAAUCUUAGUCGGAAUUAUUCUCUGCAAUUCGAGAAUAUGAAGCGCGGAAUCGCUAGUAAUCGCGAAUCAGCAUGUCGCGGUGAAUAUGCACUUAGAUCUUGUACAUACCGCCCGUCACGCCAUGGGAAUUAAUUUUGCAGGUAAGAAGGAUUAAUUAUCUAAUUUAUUAUUUUUUUUUAUAAGAAUUAAAAAUUAUUUUAAAUUUUUAAUUAAAUAAAAAUAUUUUUAUUAAAUAAUUAAUUUGAUGAAUGUGGGAUUUAAUAACUGGGGUGAAGUCGUAACAAGGUAGCCGUAGAGGAAUCUGUGGCUGGAUCAAAAAAAAUUAA